UGCCAGACUCCUACGGGAGGCAGCAGUGGGGAAUAUUGCACAAUGGGCGAAAGCCUGAUGCAGCGACGCCGCGUGAGUGAAGAAGUAUUUCGGUAUGUAAAGCUCUAUCAGCAGGGAAGAAAAUGACGGUACCUGACUAAGAAGCCCCGGCUAACUACGUGCCAGCAGCCGCGGUAAUACGUAGGGGGCAAGCGUUAUCCGGAAUCACUGGGUGUAAAGGGAGCGUAGACGGCUGUGCAAGCCUGAAGUGAAAGGCGGGGGCCCAACCCCCGGACUGCUUUGGGAACUGUACGGCUGGAGUGCAGGAGAGGUAAGUGGAAUUCCUAGUGUAGCGGUGAAAUGCGUAGAUAUUAGGAGGAACACCAGUGGCGAAGGCGGCUUUCUGGACUGAAACUGACGCUGAGGCACGAAAGCGUGGGGAGCGAACAGGAUUAGAUACCCUAGUA
This 446-nucleotide ribosomal RNA is filed under the name uncultured bacterium. RNAcentral's name for it is "bacterial SSU rRNA". It matches the Rfam family "Bacterial small subunit ribosomal RNA", at positions 329 to 792 of the family's 1533-position model. The record is from RNAcentral.